CUUGUCUCUGAGUGGGGAUGGGGCUUUUCUGCAGACAGGAGGCCACCAAAGUCCCGAGCCCAAGGCCCCGCGGCCCUGCAGGGAGAGUGCUGAACUGAAGCAUUGCCUGGAGCUGGAUCUGAGAGAAGCCAGAGCCCUGGGCCCUGUGAGGCUCCUGCCUGUCAGAUUCCUGCAUCUCCCUCCCUCUUCCCAGGUCCUGGCUCUGGACCCAGUGAGCAGCCCUUUGCCAUGACCCUGUGUGCCAUCCACCUGUCCCCGGGGGAUGUGAGCACUUGCCCGGCAGCCCGGGGCUGGGGACGUGGGCAAGCUGUUAGGAUGGUUCAGCCUCUGCUCCAGGCUAAUGCUCCUGAAGAUGCGUCCCAGCCAGGAAGCUCCUGGCACUUUCUGUCUCAUUGUCUCAGCAUAAGCAGUAUUCAGAGGUGUCCCUGGAACACGUGGCUCAGAGGGCAGCUGGGUAUUUGCCCAGGCUCUGUGGCAACCUGCCGUCUUCUGGGAUAGCCAGAGGGCUGAGCCUGCCAGAGUGCCAGCACCACGGCUUCAAGGCUGUCUUGACCAGCAGAGGCCUGGUCCGGCCACACCUUACUUCCUCCUGUUCCUCCCGGUCCUUCCCACUCACCUCUACCCUCCACUCACCCUCUCUUUCUGGAGCACUGCGUCUUACCCCAGGGGAAUGCCCAGCCCACACCCAGACCAGUCAGCUUCUUCCAGAAGGCAGCAGAGCCGGAGCAAGCCCAGGGCUGAGGGGCCUCAUGACUGAUUUCCCUUCUCAGAAACCUCUCUGACCUCCCAAACUGGAAUCUCUGCCUUUGGUUUGCAAGCCAGGAAUCACAGAUGGGUCACUCAACCAGAGCACUCUUGUGGUGUGUCCAGGUCAGAGGGCAGCCAGGCCCUCCCAUGCCAUCCCCAGCAGCUGGACGGAGGGCGAGAAGCCCCUCCUGGUGCCUCAGGCCCUGAGCCUCUCAGGUUCCCUCAAAGGGAGGGGCUCUGCAGAGCCAGCUGCAGCUGUGGGAAACCACACACCGCAGCCUGCAGGUGCAAGGGGCCUGGGGGAAGGGGAGAGGAUUAACUGUUUCUUGGGAGCAAGCCUUUUCCAUCCCAUCCAUUCCCAAAUGGUGGCUCCCCCAGGAUGUGGCGUAGCACGCCCCGCAGGGGUGUGGGGUGGGAAGCUGGCUGUGGAAGAGUCACAGGGCUUGUGAUCCAGGGAUCCCAGAGACAAACCCCUGCCUCAGAGGCCCUGAAGCCCACAGAGAGAGACCAAGAUACUCUCACUGACUCUGGGCGGCUUCAGAGGCCACUGAGAAACCCCGGGCACCGUGUCCCACUUCAUGUCUAGUUGCCACUCUCUGGAGACACUUCCUCCAAGUCAUAGGACCUGCCCAGGGGAGGCAGAAGGGAGCUUCAUUCUUGGGCUGUGCCACUCACCCCACCGGGGGUCUGCCCCCUGAGGAUGCGCAGAGUGCUGCCAAGAGGAGCACCGGGCCGGCCUCAGUGGGGGCUGAGCAGGCGGUUCCUUCCCCCUCAGCCUGGGCCUCUGGGUGGUAACCAUGAGUGUGAGUGGGUAAACUCUAGCUCACCGAGGCUGGGACACUGCUCUGGGGUUGUCCAGGGGCUGGAAGCCAUUCAAGGGGAAAACCUUCGCAGGUUCCCAGAAUGACUCCUUUCUGCCAGGCUGUCCCCAAAGGCUAGCGGGAUGCUCAUGCUGCCCUUGUGCCUGCCUGUCACAGGUCCAGGUUGGUCUGACCUCUCAUCCCGCCAGUUACCUGCCUCCUGGUGGAGCACCCACCGAGAACAGUGUCCUGGCAAGAGACCCAGGGGGCCCCGGGCCCUGUGGGAAGAGGCCAGAAUUGCCUUUGUGUGAGUCCUGCUUCAACCCCUAACUUUCUUCUCACUCUUCCCACUCUUCCAUGAGAAUAAGUAACUCAUUCCCUUACUCUUGAUUUUCCCUAAAUGUGAGAAAGGUGAUGCUGUCUAGGAGAAAGUGACUGAGUUCACCCUGCACACAUGGGCACCAGCUGCUUGUCAGGGUUGGAAGGUAGACACACAUUCUUUCCCUGGAGGAGCCCACAGGCUGGCAGGGCAGACGUUCACACGCGAUUCAGAGGCAGGGCUCUGCAAGGGAAGGCAGUAAGUUCAUCAGGGGCAGAGGAGGAGCUGAUGAUGAUGGAGAAUGUCUGCAGAGCUCACAAAUGUUCUCUGAAGCACAUAGCGCUGGCUGUUUGGAACGAAGCAGAAAGGGGUAGCAUCCGCUUUUGAAGACAGACCUGGAGAAGGCUUGCCGCGGACAAAGGAGCUGCUCACUAAAUGCUCAUCGCUGGCUAGAAGGGGAAGGCUGCACUGAAGUGAGGAAGGCUGCUGGCCUGGCCAGCACUCCUCCAGAAGAAGCCUCCGCUUCAGGCCUCUCGCCCUCCCUCCUCCUCCGGUUGGCUGUGAGAAGCAGUGUCUUGGGAUGGGCCUGGUUUUGGGGGUGCUGGUUCUGCAGUUUCCAGCAUCAUUGGCCCUGACAGUAAAUACAGAAUUUUGGCAUCUUC
This is a non-coding RNA of Chlorocebus sabaeus (green monkey), 2528 nucleotides long. The record is from RefSeq and is a predicted model, not a curated record. Lineage: Eukaryota; Metazoa; Chordata; Mammalia; Primates; Cercopithecidae.